ACCAACCAGGCCCCUGACACGGCCUAUAUCAAUGCAUUGGAAUCAUGGUAGACAGGAUGUCCUGGGCGCUAAUAAAUAGCGCCCACUGUCAAAUGCGAAAACAUCAACAAUUUUUUGUUUAACGUUUAUUUUGGUUUGUUGAUCAGUUUUUGGAAUCAUUUUUUCCAGCGUUUAUCAUCACAAAACACUUCAAACUCGCUUUAAUAUUCAUGUACGGUAAGAGGAGCAUGCGAUUAGUUGAAUAAAGCAACACAACAAACACGCAUUGUGAAUGUGAUUUCGUGUGUGGCUCACAACAUCAAACAAAAGCUGCGUUUGUUGAUUACACGCUCGUUUUAAUUUACACGAAUAUGAGUAUAAGGCAGUUAGAUGUUGGCUACGAUAAAUUUCAUUGAUGCCAGGGGCUUGGUACCAACAUAAUUCGAUCCAGGGGGUGCGACACUCUAAUCUUUUUGGAAUCACUUUUAAAGAUUCGAAAUGAUUCAAAAAGAUUCGAAAAGAUUCGGCGUGAUUCAAGAAAAAAAAGUUGGCCCGACAGUGAUAUCCAAAUAACCACAACUUUUAGUUCAGUGUUUGUUUUGAUCUGGAGAGCGCGAAGCCUUUCGUUUUCUUCUCUUGCUGUGUAGUAAAAUAAAGUGCCGACAAGUGAAGGAGGAUGAUGGACUCCAACGUAUGGCUCAAAGAAGAGGUCAUCGACCCCGUGACGGCCGCGCAUACGAUGACUGAAUUGUUUAGCAACGAACCACUCUCCAUUUCCGCCGUACAGCAAAUAAAGUGUCAAAGCGUCAAAGAUAGACCACCACUUCCGACAGUUCCACGAGAUUACACAGGAUCUUUCGUUUCGACGUAUUGCCGUAUCCAGACUUACUUCGAUGAGCAAAUUGCGACAAGUUUUAUACAUAUAAUUAUUUAAUGUAUUAUACCAUUAUACAUAUUCUGCCUAUGAUCGCAUAAUUGUCCCAUAUGAAUAGGAAACCCAGCAAAGAUGGGACUGAUAUUCGAUCAUGGGUAGUAUUGCUGAUUCAAAAUAAAUAUUACGGGGGUGGGUUUUUACUGGGUUGGGUGGUUGCCACUUAAUUUGUUCGAAAAUAGACCUUUUGGGGCUUAGACAGAGGGUCCUUUUUGGGCACUACACUUCUUAAUUGUUGAUUAAAACCUAUCGGUAACUUUCAGAGCAUAAACUCAGUCGGCGAUCAGAGUUAAGUAGAUUUACUAUGCCAUACGAGGUACGGCAGAGUAUGAAGUUUGUUUGAGUUUAAAAAUGUUCUUAUAGCAAAAAAAAAUCCGGUGCUCUAUUAGCUUAUGCUUCCAUUGAUUAAAGUAAUCAAAUUUUGUCUUUGGGAAGGUUCACCAAGUCCUCCUUAAUUGCCCGGUGAAGCAAGUGAUCAGAAUUCGUCAUUACGAGGGUUCACCAAGUCCUCCUUAACUGCCCGGUGAAGCAAUUGAUCAGAAUAAGUAUUUACAAAGGUUCAUCAAGUCCUCCUUAAUUGCCCGGUGAAGCAAGUGAUCAGAAUAAGUGUUUACGAAGGUUCAUCAAGUCCUCCUUAAUUGCCUGGUGAAGCAAGUGAUCAGAAUUCGUCAUUACGAGGGUUCACCAAGUCCUCCUUAAUUUCCCGGUGAAGCAAGUGAUCAGAAUUGGUCUUCACGAAGGUUCACCAAGUUCUCCUUAAUUGCCCGGUGAAGCAAAUGAUCAGAAUUCGUCAUUACGAGGGUUCACCAAGUCCUCCUUAACUGCCCGGUGAAGCAAGUGAUCAGAAUUAGUCUUCACGAAGGUUCACCAAGUCCUCCUUAAUUGCCCGGUGAAGCAAGUGAUCAGAAUUAGUCUUCACGAAGGUUCACCAAGUCCUCCUUAACUGCCCGGUGAAGCAAGUGACCAGAAUUAGUCUUCACGAAGGUUCACCAAGUCCUCCUUAACUGCCCGGUGAAGCAAGUUAUCAGAAUAAGUGUUUACGAAGGUUCAUCAAGUCCUCCUUAAUUUCCCGGUGAAGCAAGUGAUCAGAAUUAGUCUUCACGAAGGUUCACCAAGUCCUCCUUAACUG
Long non-coding RNA from Aedes albopictus (Asian tiger mosquito), 2039 nucleotides. RefSeq lists it as uncharacterized. The transcript is spliced from 5 exons. NCBI's taxonomy places the organism in Eukaryota, Metazoa, Arthropoda, Insecta, Diptera, Culicidae. The record is from RefSeq and is a predicted model, not a curated record.